UCAAGCUCAGGUCUGGGUUACUGACUUCCAAAUCAGCAGUCUUUCUUCUGCAUUCAUUACAUCACUUUGGAAAAAAAAAAAUCAAGGAAGAAAGAAAGUUAAUAUAUUUUAGGCAACCUCUUUAGUCCCAGGGUAUCACCUGUCUUCAGCUCUGCAAGUGGAAACAUUAACAGAGGGUGUCGGUCAACAGUCGCUGAAUGUUUACCAUCAGGUGAAGACCUCAGGACCAAGAGCCAGGGAAACCUCCAAGAUAUGGAACUGGACAAAAAACACACACAUAAAGUCAUGGACAGAAGAACAAAAUAAGAUGAUCUAACAAAUGAUGGAAAGCGGCAGUAUCCGCAGUGGCAGACUGCUUUGGAAGGCCAAGUGAAUGGAUGUGCCCCUCCCAGCCUGUGUAUUUGACACCAGUUCAUGGACCUUUGCUGGUGUCUACUGUGGGGCACGGGUGAGCAGUGAUGCUGGGGGCCAUGAUGGCCCUGCCUGCGCAGAUGGGGGACAGGCAGUGGCUCUGCAGAUCCAUGGUUCCUCUGACAGGGAACACGGGAGCCAGUGGAGCAGGGCAGGAGUGCAGCCCACAGAGGCCUGGAGCCAUCAGGACAGCUGAGCCCUGAGUACCCAGCAUGAGUUACAGGUGAAGAGACACAUCAAGAAGAUAAAGUCCUUGACAUUCUGCAAAGAGACGCCAGGAGCCAGGAGAUGCACAGCCUGUUCCUGAGGUGAAGGAGACAGAUACCCAUCUCCUCAGCUGUGGGGUGAGCAUAAGCAUUUGGCACCCGCCUUUGCAAAGGGUCAGGGAUGGUUUCAGCUCCACAAGGGACGAGAAGCCAUUCAUCUCUGAAGUCAACGUUAAAAGCAAAAGUGAACCAAUUUACUCUUCCCUUUGGCUUGCAAGCAAGCAAUAAUU
Long non-coding RNA from Eptesicus fuscus (big brown bat), 907 nucleotides. RefSeq lists it as uncharacterized. The record is from RefSeq and is a predicted model, not a curated record. NCBI's taxonomy places the organism in Eukaryota, Metazoa, Chordata, Mammalia, Chiroptera, Vespertilionidae. The transcript is spliced from 4 exons.